AUGAUAUACUAGCCAUUCCUGUAACAACUGUGGCGUCGGAAUCUGCCUUCAGUACUAGUGGGAGAAUACUAAGUGCACAUAGAUGUUCACUUGCACCAAACAUGACUGAAGCUCUUAUGUGUAUGCAAGCUUGGUCCCGUGCAGACAUGUUAGGGGAUUGCAAUUCUACUCUCUUUGCGGACUUUGAAACUGUUCUUAAGGAUGACACAGAAAUGAUGGAGGUUGAUGAUCAAUCCAUCCUAACUGAAGCCUGAAACAUGAUUGUAUGAUGUUG
Long non-coding RNA from Triticum aestivum (bread wheat), 274 nucleotides. RefSeq lists it as uncharacterized. The record is from RefSeq and is a predicted model, not a curated record. The transcript is spliced from 3 exons. Lineage: Eukaryota; Viridiplantae; Streptophyta; Magnoliopsida; Poales; Poaceae.